ACUCUUUCAUUCAUGUUACCAAAAGACUAUAAUAAUUCUGUCGGUGUUCCGACUAUGGUGAUAAAUGCUUUGCAGAAUAAGCGAGACGGACCCGGGGGCAGUGCCCGGCGCCUCCACCAACCUAUCAGUUUUUCUGAUGGUUAUCCUAUAAAAUGGCUAAAGCCAUUUGAUUUAUGGGGGCGAAACAGGAUCGACGUGCGUGGUAAAAUCAAAGUUUUUACUCGGUAUUGUACCACCGUUAUCGGGCUAUUUUUACAAAUGCAAACGAUAAUGAAGCAUUUGCGGUAGCAGCUUAAUAGCAUAGUUACCACGGGGUCCGGGGGGCACCUUGCAACAGAAGCCCCCCAUU
Molecule: transfer-messenger RNA, 349 nt
Filed under: Rhodospirillaceae bacterium
Lineage: Bacteria; Pseudomonadati; Pseudomonadota; Alphaproteobacteria; Rhodospirillales; Rhodospirillaceae
Also listed under: 2 other names
Rfam family: Alphaproteobacteria transfer-messenger RNA
About the family: Bacterial tmRNA, also known as 10Sa RNA or SsrA, is named for its dual tRNA and mRNA-like properties. Its role is to liberate the mRNA from a stalled ribosome.
Source: RNAcentral